GUAGGUGAACCUGCGGAAGGAUCAUUACCGAGAUAGGGUUCCUUUACGGGCCCAACCUCCAACCCAUUGUCUAUUAUACCUCUGUUGCCUCGGCGGGCCGUCGGAGCUCCUUACGGAGCGAAGCCGUCGGUCCCUCGCAGGGCUUUCGAGCGCCCGCCGCAGGACUAUUUAAACUCUUUUUAAAAGCAGUAUUCUGAGUGGGAUUUUAAUAACUUCAAAACUUUCAACAACGGAUCUCUUGGUUCUGGCA
RNAcentral lists this unclassified non-coding RNA (250 nucleotides) under plant metagenome. Its description in RNAcentral is "partial contains small subunit ribosomal RNA, internal transcribed spacer 1, and 5.8S ribosomal RNA". The record is from RNAcentral.